Molecule: ribosomal RNA, 497 nt
Filed under: uncultured bacterium
Lineage: Bacteria
Description: partial 16S ribosomal RNA
Rfam family: Bacterial small subunit ribosomal RNA
Source: RNAcentral
GAUGAACGCUGGCGGCGUGCCUAAUACAUGCAAGUCGAGCGAACGGACGAGAAGCUUGCUUCUCUGAUGUUAGCGGCGGACGGGUGAGUAACACGUGGAUAACCUACCUAUAAGACUGGGAUAACUUCGGGAAACCGGAGCUAAUACCGGAUAAUAUUUUGAACCGCAUGGUUCAAAAGUGAAAGACGGUCUUGCUGUCACUUAUAGAUGGAUCCGCGCUGCAUUAGCUAGUUGGUAAGGUAACGGCUUACCAAGGCAACGAUGCAUAGCCGACCUGAGAGGGUGAUCGGCCACACUGGAACUGAGACACGGUCCAGACUCCUACGGGAGGCAGCAGUAGGGAAUCGUCCGCAAUGGGCGAAAGCCUGACGGAGCAACGCCGCGUGAGUGAUGAAGGUCUUCGGAGCGUAAAACUCUGUUAUUAGGGAAGAACAUAUGUGUAAGUAACUGUGCACAUCUUGACGGUACCUAAUCAGAAAGCCACGGCUAACUACGUG